This 506-nucleotide ribosomal RNA is filed under the name uncultured bacterium. RNAcentral describes it as "partial 16S ribosomal RNA". It matches the Rfam family "Bacterial small subunit ribosomal RNA", at positions 29 to 523 of the family's 1533-position model. The record is from RNAcentral.
AGUGAACGCUGGCGGUAGGCCUAACACAUGCAAGUCGAACGGCAGCACAGGAGAGCUUGCUCUCUGGGUGGCGAGUGGCGGACGGGUGAGGAAUACAUCGGAAUCUACUUUUUCGUGGGGGAUAACGUAGGGAAACUUACGCUAAUACCGCAUACGACCUACGGGUGAAAGCAGGGGACCUUCGGGCCUUGCGCGAUUGAAUGAGCCGAUGUCGGAUUAGCUAGUUGGCGGGGUAAAGGCCCACCAAGGCGACGAUCCGUAGUUGGUCUGAGAGGAUUAGCAGCCACACUGGAACUGAGACACGGUCCAGACUCCUACGGGAGGCAGCAGUGGGGAAUAUUGGACAAUGGGCGCAAGCCUGAUUCAGCCAUACCGCGUGGGUGAAGAAGGCCUUCGGGUUGUAAAGCCCUUUUGUUGGGAAAGAAAUCCAGCUGGCUAAUACCCGGUUGGGAUGACGGUACCCAAAGAAUAAGCACCGGCUAACUUCGUGCCAGCCGCCGCAGUAA